CAGAAAAAAUAACUUUGUGUUGCGAGAGAAAUUGACACAAACGGAGCAAGACACUACUACUCUUUUAUUUUCCAGCAGAUUGUUUUUCUACGAUGCGACGGAUGACGAAAUCGGAAAGCCUGAUUACUGAUUUCCGAUUGCUGCACAGCACUCGGAGAUAGAGAUUAAAAGAUGGCAUGAGAUUUCCCGACAGUGACGUUAAUUUGCUCCCCAGGGGGCCAUGUCUCCCACUGAUAAGGCCUUUGAUGCUGACCCGGGAUAACCUCACCUCGCUCAUUACCUCAUGCUUAGGCUAUAGUAGCGAUGCACUACGAUCGCCUGGUAACUGGUGGCGAAGAUUGCGCGAUGCUGUUUUGGGUUGAAAAACAUGUUAUUUUCGAAAAGAGCUGCCCAGAUAAGCCAAGAAAAGUGCGAGUGGCUGCGUUGAUUCAACCCACAUCGCUGUUCGAUAUUUGUGAAAUGGAAUUUUACUUGAGAAUACAAUAAAAUUGUUUUCAAUGACUGUCGUUUUACUUUAGUUCCUUUAUAUUAAGGAGUUAAACGUUUGAUGACAAGUUUUUUCUAGCUCUUAAUAUUUUAA
Long non-coding RNA from Drosophila serrata, 580 nucleotides. The record is from RefSeq and is a predicted model, not a curated record. NCBI's taxonomy places the organism in Eukaryota, Metazoa, Arthropoda, Insecta, Diptera, Drosophilidae.